GACGAACGCUGGCGGCGUGCUUAACACAUGCAAGUCGAACGAUGAAGCCUAGCUUGCUGGGUGGAAGAGUGGCGAACGGGUGAGUAACACGUGAGUAACCUGCCCCUGACUCUGGGAUAAGCGCUAGGAAUGGCGUCUAAUACUGGAUAUGACCUAUCACCGCAUGGUGUGUGGGUGGAAAGAUUUAUCGGUUGGGGAUGGACUCGCGGCCUAUCAGCUUGUUGGUGAGGUAAUGGCUCACCAAGGCGACGACGGGUAGCCGGCCUGAGAGGGGGACCGGCCACACUGGGACUGAGACACGGCCCAGACUCCUACGGGAGGCAGCAGUGGGGAAUAUUGCACAAUGGGCGCAAGCCUGAUGCAGCAACGCCGCGUGAGGGAUGACGGCCUUCGGGUUGUAAACCUCUUUUAGUAGGGAAGAAGCGAAAGUGACGGUACCUGCAGAAAAAGCACCGGCUAACUACGUGCCAGCCGCCGCCGUAA
This 483-nucleotide ribosomal RNA is filed under the name uncultured bacterium. Its description in RNAcentral is "partial 16S ribosomal RNA". It matches the Rfam family "Bacterial small subunit ribosomal RNA", at positions 28 to 523 of the family's 1533-position model. The record is from RNAcentral.